UGCUCUUUCACAUCAAUAAUUUUUUGUAUUAUUCCAUAACCCAAAAGCUUUCCUCUGUUUCAACUAAGCGAAAAUUUACAUAUUAAAGCCUAGCUCAAAUUCCUUUUUUCAAUCGAAAUAAAACGUAGCCCCAAAACCCUAAUUCACCACACCAAUUUAUCUCUGCCCGGUAUUCAUUUAAACCCUACCUCGCGGUUCAAUGUCAUUCAAUACGAUUGCAGAUGCCGUUUCAACUUGUCAUUUAGUUAUUGCCAUCCAGUUCUCUAUGGUAAGCCUUAACCCUAACAACUAAUCGACUGUGGUAGCACGUUGCUUGUUAGGAGUGGGGAUACAUUAUUUAACUAUAUGAAUUGGGUGAUGUUAGUGAUUCAUUCCCCUAUUUGUCAUGAAUUAAGAUUUGUGUAUAAUGCUAGUCAGAUUGCUAAAAAUUUCAUAUUUUGUAUUGUUCCAGUUGAAUUUCUUGCUUGUGGAAGAUAAAACAAAAGUUCAAUUUCAUGUUGAUUUAAUUCUUCUUUUUCUUCUUUUUUUUUUUCUUCUUUAUAGUCACGCUCUGGCUUUGGUGCUAUGCUUAGUGCAGUUUAUGGUUUCAAGAUUAAGUCACGUUUAUUUGAUGGCAUCGAUUCCAUCAUUAAGAAGCUCUUCUUAUUUUAUCUCAGUUUCAAUUUUCUUUUAUUAUCUGCCUCUACCUGAAAAUGGACGUGUUUUACUAGUAAGCAUAGACUUUGUUUAUUUAAUUGAUAUUUUAAUUUUAUGUAUAAGAAUAGAGGUUUAUUUUGGAAAAAAAAGCAAUAAAAAAACAGACUCUGUUGAAGCUAAUUAGUACUGAAUGUUUUUGGUGGUGCGACCAGAGGUGGAAACAGGGUAUGAAAAUGUGUUACUAGUGAGGUUGCUGCUUAAGAUGAGAAUGCAUUCUUUUCAAAAAUCCUUGGUAGGUGUGAUCUAAUUAUAUUUGAUGGAAUAUUAAAUGGCUAAAAAUCUGUCAUACGUUCAAACUUUGUUUGUGUUUAGAAGAAUGGUGUUGAUUGUAUAUUCAUUUGCUUAGCCUUUUGACAGAUGGAUUUGAAACUGACGACAAAUGUGAUUCAAUUUACAAGGUUUUCGAGGGGCUCACAGUGGAAGGGAUAUUGAAGAACUGGUCUAAGAUAAAGCCUAUGAUUGUGAAGGAAGGGAUAUUGAAGAACUGGUCCCUUUUGACAG
This 1197-nucleotide long non-coding RNA is filed under the name Citrus sinensis (sweet orange). Its description in RNAcentral is "long non-coding RNA (CSIN_LNC004981)". Lineage: Eukaryota; Viridiplantae; Streptophyta; Magnoliopsida; Sapindales; Rutaceae. The record is from RNAcentral.